Molecule: long non-coding RNA, 1940 nt
Organism: Lolium perenne
Lineage: Eukaryota; Viridiplantae; Streptophyta; Magnoliopsida; Poales; Poaceae
Source: RefSeq, a predicted model, not a curated record
UCUCUGGGCGACUGUGGAGAGGACGGCAAGCGGCUGCGUGGCGAUCUCGUCUUCGUCGCCGGGUAUAGGGCAAGAAGGUCCUGCCGGCAAUGGAGAGAGAGGGGGCCAAGGUUGGGAAACAAUUUCACCAGAUCUGCUAGAGAUUUCCAUGGAGCAGAGGCGACAAGCCGAGCCUCACCGUCUAGGGUUUCCUAGACCCAGCCACCCGAGCUUUUAGAUCGAGGACGAUGGCGACCACCGCUGCCGCCGCCGGUCGACCCGCAUCUCUCGCCUGCAAGUAUCGCGCCGCCGCGGCUCCGCGUAACGCUGGUCGACCCACAGCGCUCAGCCUGCAGCGCUCAACCCGCAGGUACGCUCCCGUGCCCGACCUAGAGCGCGGCGGCGGUGGCCAGAUCCCGAGCGCAGCAGCGGCGUGCACCUCGUCGUUGUCAUCGGCAGCGACCGUGAAGGUCGCCCCAGCCAGCGUCAAUGAUGUAGAGGUGCUGCACGCGCGAAUCUCGUCCUCCUCCGGCCGCGAGACAUUCUCCAUGGCAGGCGGAGAUGAGAAGGAGCGGAGGUGUGCUGUUGGUGUGCAGCUGGGCGUCUCCUCUCUCUCUAUCCCUUGUGCUCCUCCGUCAUGGGAUGGCUCUCCAAGUCCACUGUCCACACCCUCACGCUUUACAAGGGACUCCAAUUCAAGACUAGAUAUCAAAUAUUAGACUUGGGAAGGAGGUGAUUCAUCGGCUAGCAGUGACCACGGAGAAGAAGUGGUGACUGGCAUGUGAGCUGAGGUGGUUGUGAGGACAACUUGAUGUUGCUCUGGCGUGGGAAGCAGAGGGUGACCUCCUACUCAAUAGACAUGGGCAUGGUGGGAAUGCCGGUGCGGUAGACAACAUCGGCAGCAAUUGCUACGGCAACAUCAAGUGAAAGGAUUGGCAGGGAGCCAGCGAGGGCAUUGAGGCGGACUCAUGGGGGCGAGUGGGAAUUGCGACCGCCGAGAUUUUGUUGACUAUAUGGUGCCGCAACACCUCGAUUGGUUAACAUCCACGUCGACUGAGCCCUCCCAACACCUCGCAGAUACGUCGGCCCCUGAUGUUGGUGAUUGCAUGCGUGAAAGUUGCAGAGGCGGGGUGGCGAUCUGGCAACCACGAGCAGUGCAGCCACUCUGUCGACCAUGAGCUGAUCAAUUCCCUUACAUACAGUUUUUUUCUUAUUUGAUUGGUGAAAUACCUGAUGGACGUGGGUUUUCUAAACUUUGAAAAGCACCACAAACAAGAGGUCUACCAACACGGGUUGCUACUUUAUAUUUCUAUGUACAAAUUGCAAUAACGUAUCAAUUUACCCUCAAACUUUUAUUUUCUUUUUUUCAGAAAUUAAUGAGUACGAAGCCAGCAAAGUUGAUAUUGGGCCUAGAAGCUAGAACCCUAAUGUAUGUGUUUUAUGUGGCUCGAGUUCAGUUCUGGUGGCUGCAUGUUAGGUAAUAGAAGUUGUUUCAUGGCUAAAUUAAUUCUACUGAAGGCUGAUCCAAUACAUGCUAUUAUUCAUCAUAUAUUAUGAUUAGAAAUAGACAUGUUAGACAUCUGAUCAUAUCGAUGAUAAAAUCAUUUGUCCUCCUCAUAUGCAUCAUAUAUAUGUGUUAUUCUUUCCCACUCAAAGUGAUAAACACAUAGGGGAAAGGAAGUAUGACUCAAUUUCUUCAGGCUAUCAUAGUUGUUAAUCUAAGAGGGGAAAUGCCAAGGAAUUGAUGACUAUGUAUUUGAGCAGUACUUGAACCUCCAUGACUAUGUAUUUGAGCAGUACUGUGUAUGUGUAAGAACCAUCUACUAAAGUUUAUAUGUAAUAUGUUCCAAUGCUAUGCUUUUAUGCAGUAUAUUACUAUGGUUUCACCACCUGUGUUUAUAUGUUCUUCGUUCUAAUAAUUAGAUAGCUCCUACAAUAAUAUUCUUUUUCUAAAUGCAUUU